Molecule: non-coding RNA, 70 nt
Organism: Dipodomys ordii (Ord's kangaroo rat)
Lineage: Eukaryota; Metazoa; Chordata; Mammalia; Rodentia; Heteromyidae
Source: Rfam
GAGAAGGUGGCUCAGUGGUAGAGCACGUGCCUUCCAUGCCUGAGGCCCUGGGUUCGAUUCCUCAGCAUCA